Molecule: ribosomal RNA, 627 nt
Filed under: uncultured Cortinarius
Lineage: Eukaryota; Fungi; Basidiomycota; Agaricomycetes; Agaricales; Cortinariaceae
Description: eukaryotic LSU rRNA
Rfam family: 5.8S ribosomal RNA (bases 232-385)
Source: RNAcentral
CUUGGUCAUUUAGAGGAAGUAAAAGUCGUAACAAGGUUUCCGUAGGUGAACCUGCGGAAGGAUCAUUAUUGAAAUAAACCUGAUGGGUUGUUGCUGGUUCUCUAGGGAGCAUGUGCACACCUUGUCAUCUUUAUAUUUCCCCCUGUGCACUUUUUGUAGACCUUUCAGGUCUAUGUUGCUUCAUUUACCCCAAUGUAUGUUAAUAGAAUGUUGUGCCUAUAUAAUAUAUACAACUUUCAGCAACGGAUUUCUUGGCUCUGGCAUGGAUGAAGAACGCAGCGAAAUGCGAUAAGUAAUGUGAAUUGCAGAAUUCAGUGAAUCAUCGAAUCUUUGAACGCACCUUGCGCUCCUUGGUAUUCCGAGGAGCAUGCCUGUUUGAGUGUCAUUAAUAUAUCAACCUUCUCUUUUUUGAGUUGUUUGGAUGUGGGGGUUUGCUGGCCUCUUAAAUGAUUCAGCUCCCCUGAAAUGCAUUAGCAGAACAACCUGUUCAUUGGCGUGAUAAUUAUCUAUGCUAUUGAAUGUGAGGGCAGUUCAGCUUUCUAACCGUCCUUGGACAAUUCAUCAUUAAUGUGACCUCAAAUCAGGUAGGACUACCCGCUGAACUUAAGCAUAUCAAUAAGCGGAGGA